UAUAUUUGACUCUAUAUGAAAAUAUCAUUAUUAUAUAAAUAGAAAAAAAAACGUUCAUUUAUUAUAAAAGAAUAUAUUGGAGAGAAAUUCACAUAUAUUUCAUAUAUAAUUCAUCUAUUAAAAAAUAAAAAAAUAGUAGAAGUGGGUUUCAGAUUGUUUAAAUAUAUGACAAUUUAGUCGGGAUGUAUUCAAAUAAUCAUCUUUUUGUAGCCAAGGUUAGUAUCCAAGAUAUUAUCAGAACGGGGCUCCUCUACAAAUGGUUUGAGUUUGCCG
RNAcentral lists this long non-coding RNA (273 nucleotides) under Brassica rapa (field mustard). Its description in RNAcentral is "long non-coding RNA (BRAP_LNC005520)". The record is from RNAcentral. Lineage: Eukaryota; Viridiplantae; Streptophyta; Magnoliopsida; Brassicales; Brassicaceae.